Molecule: non-coding RNA, 744 nt
Organism: Carassius auratus (goldfish)
Lineage: Eukaryota; Metazoa; Chordata; Actinopteri; Cypriniformes; Cyprinidae
Source: the annotation of a RefSeq genome assembly
GUCCACACACACAAUCAUAGCAUGUAGUAAGUUAGUUUGACAUCACAUGUGAUGCACAUUUUCUAUUUCUUACAACUUGUGCCUUUCAUAUGAUUACUAUGAUUCCUUGGAUUAGUCAUUAUAAAGUAUUAAAAACUGCAAUCAGUUAUAUUGUGAACACGAGAGCACAUCUAUCAGUGAGGUUUCAGUGAUCAUUAAACCAACUUACACCUGUUCACUGCUGCAGUGUUUGCAUAGAGAGUGUGUUUUACAUGAGCGACACACACUUCAGUGCUCUGCAUGUGUUUAUAACUCUGACAAACAUCAAACAUGAUCAACAACUGUUUCUCACUAGAACUGAACCUACAACCAACAAAAAUGACUUUCAUCACCAUAUUGAUCUGGACUCUGACUGUUUUAUGUAGAGAAUCUAUUGGGCAGGUGACAGUGACUCAAACUCCCUCAGUGCUGCUCGCUCAAACUGGACAAUCAGUCACUGUGACCUGUAAAUCCAGCAGUGAUCCUACCUGCUGUUGUAGUGGAAAGCAGUGUCUCAGCUGGUACUUACAGAAACCUGGAGAAGCUCCUAAACUCCUGAUUUAUGGAACAAGCAGCCUCCAGUCAGGAACUCCAUCUAGAUUCAGUGGCAGUGGAUCUAACAGUGAUUUCACUCUGACCAUCAGUGGAGUCCAGACUGAAGAUGCUGGACAUUAUUACUGUCAGAGUGCUCACUAUAUCAGUAGUAGUUAUGUGUUCACACAGUGA